Molecule: ribosomal RNA, 253 nt
Filed under: uncultured bacterium
Lineage: Bacteria
Description: partial 16S ribosomal RNA
Rfam family: Bacterial small subunit ribosomal RNA
Source: RNAcentral
UACGUAGGGUGCAAGCGUUAAUCGGAAUUACUGGGCGUAAAGCGUGCGCAGGCGGUUUUGUAAGUUUGUCGUGAAAGCCCCGGGCUCAACCUGGGAAUUGCAUUUGAAACUGGGGAACUAGAGUGUGUGAGAGGGGGGUAGAAUUCCAAGUGUAGCAGUGAAAUGCGUAGAGAUGUGGAGGAACACCGAUGGCGAAGGCAGCCCCCUGGGUCAAGAUUGACGCUCAUGCACGAAAGCGUGGGGAGCAAACAGG